This 295-nucleotide ribosomal RNA is filed under the name uncultured bacterium. RNAcentral describes it as "partial 16S ribosomal RNA". It matches the Rfam family "Bacterial small subunit ribosomal RNA", at positions 336 to 648 of the family's 1533-position model. The record is from RNAcentral.
UUCCUACGGGGGGCAGCAGUGGGGAAUAUUGCACAAUGGGGGAAACCCUGAUGCAGCGACGCCGCGUGAGUGAAGAAGUAUUUCGGUAUGUAAAGCUCUGUCAGCAGGGAAGAAAAUGACGGUACCUGACCAAGAAGCCCCGGCUAGCUAAGUGCCAGCAGCCGCGGUAAUACGUAGGGGGCAAGCGUUAUCCGGAUUUACUGGGUGUAAAGGGAGCGUAGACGGCAGGGCAAGUCUGGAGUGAAAGGCGGGGGCUCAACCCCCGGACUGCUCUAGAAAUUGCCAGGCUGGCGUG